This 205-nucleotide ribosomal RNA is filed under the name uncultured Veillonellaceae bacterium. Its description in RNAcentral is "partial 16S ribosomal RNA". It matches the Rfam family "Bacterial small subunit ribosomal RNA", at positions 568 to 774 of the family's 1533-position model. The record is from RNAcentral. Lineage: Bacteria; Bacillati; Bacillota; Negativicutes; Veillonellales; Veillonellaceae.
AGCGCAGGUGGGAAUGUAAGUCUUUCUUAAAAGUGCGGGGCUCAACUCCGUGAUGGGAAAGAACUAUAUUUCUUGAGUGCAGGAGAGGAAAGCGGAAUUCCUAGUGUAGCGGUGAAAUGCGUAGAUAUUAGGAGGAACACCAGUGGCGAAGGCGGCUUUCUGGACUGUAACUGACACUGAGGCUCGAAAGCCAGGGGAGCGAACG